Molecule: ribosomal RNA, 429 nt
Filed under: uncultured bacterium
Lineage: Bacteria
Description: bacterial SSU rRNA
Rfam family: Bacterial small subunit ribosomal RNA
Source: RNAcentral
ACGAACGCUGGCGGCGUGCCUAAUACAUGCAAGUCGAACGCAUUUUCUUUCACCGUAGCUUGCUACACCGAAAGAAAAUGAGUGGCGAACGGGUGAGUAACACGUGGGUAACCUGCCCAUCAGCGGGGGAUAACACUUGGAAACAGGUGCUAAUACCGCAUAAUUCCAUUUACCGCAUGGUAGAUGGAUGAAAGGCGCUUYUGCGUCACUGAUGGAUGGACCCGCGGUGCAUUAGCUAGUUGGUGGGGUAACGGCCUACCAAGGYUGCGAUGCAUAGCYGACCUGAGAGGGUGAUCGGCCACACUGGGACUGAGACACGGCCCAGACUCCUACGGGAGGCAGCAGUAGGGAAUCUUCGGCAAUGGACGCAAGUCUGACCGAGCAACGCCGCGUGAGUGAAGAAGGUUUUCGGAUCGUAAAACUCUGUUG